This 201-nucleotide ribosomal RNA is filed under the name uncultured bacterium. Its description in RNAcentral is "partial 16S ribosomal RNA". It matches the Rfam family "Bacterial small subunit ribosomal RNA", at positions 333 to 528 of the family's 1533-position model. The record is from RNAcentral.
UUAUUCUUACGGGAGCAGCAGUAGGGAUUCUUCCCCAAUGGGCGCAAGCCUGAUGGAGCAACACCGCGUGAGUGAAGAAGGGUUUCGGCUCGUAAAACUCUGUUGUUGAAGAAGAACGUGCAUGAGAGUAACUGUUCAUGCAGUGACGGUAUUCUGCCAGAAAGUCGCGGCAAACUACGUGCCAGCGCCCCGGUAAUAAAA